RNAcentral lists this ribosomal RNA (450 nucleotides) under uncultured Glomeromycotina. RNAcentral describes it as "SSU rRNA". It matches the Rfam family "Eukaryotic small subunit ribosomal RNA", at positions 569 to 1020 of the family's 1831-position model. Lineage: Eukaryota; Fungi; Glomeromycota. The record is from RNAcentral.
AGCAGCCGCGGUAAUUCCAGCUCCAAUAGCGUAUAUUAAAGUUGUUGCAGUUAAAAAGCUCGUAGUUGAAUUUCGGGGUUAGUAGGUUGGUCAUGCCACUGGUAUGUACUGAUCUUACUGAUUCCUCCUUCCUGAUGAACCGUAAUGCCAUUAAUUUGGUGUUGCGGGGAGACUGGACUGUUACUUUGAAAAAAUUAGAGUGUUUAAAGCAGGCUAACGCUUGAAUACAUUAGCAUGGAAUAAUGAAAUAGGACGUUCGAUCCUAUUUUGUUGGUUUCUAGGAUUGACGUAAUGAUUAAUAGGGAUAGUUGGGGGGCAUUAGUAUUCAAUUGUCAGAGGUGAAAUUCUUGGAUUUAUUGAAGUACUAACUACUGCGAAAGCAUUUGCCAAGGAUGUUUUCAUUAAUCAAGAACGAAAGUUAGGGGAUCGAAGACGGAUCAGAUACCGUCG